Molecule: non-coding RNA, 135 nt
Organism: Triticum urartu
Lineage: Eukaryota; Viridiplantae; Streptophyta; Magnoliopsida; Poales; Poaceae
Source: Rfam
UGAAUACUCCCUCCGUACCAAAAUUCUUAUCUUAGAUUUGUCUAGAUACGGAUGUAUCUAACACUAAAACAUAACUGAAUACAUCCAUAUUUAGACAAAUCUAAGACAAAAAUUUUGGGAUGGAGGAAGUAUAAU